UAGGGAAUCUUCCACAAUGGACGCAAGUCUGAUGGAGCAACGCCGCGUGAGUGAAGAAGGUUUUCGGAUCGUAAAGCUCUGUUGUUGGUGAAGAAGGAUAGAGGUAGUAACUGGCCUUUAUUUGACGGUAAUCAACCAGAAAGUCACGGCUAACUACGUGCCAGCAGCCGCGGUAAUACGUAGGUGGCAAGCGUUGUCCGGAUUUAUUGGGCGUAAAGCGUGCGCAGGCGGAAGAAUAAGUCUGAUGUGAAAGCCCUCGGCUUAACCGAGGAACUGCAUCGGGAACUGUUUUUCUUGAGUACAGAAGAGGAGAGUGGAAUUCCAUGUGUAGCGGUGGAAUGCGUAGAUAUAUGGAAGAACACCAGUGGCGAAGGCGACUCUCUGGUCUGCAACUGACGCUGAGGCUCGAAAGCAUGGGUAGCGAACAGG
RNAcentral lists this ribosomal RNA (429 nucleotides) under Bacillota bacterium. Its description in RNAcentral is "Firmicutes bacterium partial 16S ribosomal RNA". It matches the Rfam family "Bacterial small subunit ribosomal RNA", at positions 355 to 776 of the family's 1533-position model. The record is from RNAcentral. Lineage: Bacteria; Bacillati; Bacillota.